Molecule: transfer RNA, 72 nt
Filed under: Camelus bactrianus (Bactrian camel)
Lineage: Eukaryota; Metazoa; Chordata; Mammalia; Artiodactyla; Camelidae
Also listed under: 3 other names
Rfam family: tRNA
About the family: Transfer RNA (tRNA) molecules are approximately 80 nucleotides in length. Their secondary structure includes four short double-helical elements and three loops (D, anti-codon, and T loops).
Source: Rfam by way of RNAcentral
GAGGGUAUAGCUCAGUGGUAGAGCAUGUGCCUAGCAUGCAUGAGGUCCUGGGUUCAAUUCCCAGUACCUCCA